RNAcentral lists this non-coding RNA (80 nucleotides) under unclassified sequences. RNAcentral describes it as "skipping-rope RNA". It matches the Rfam family "skipping-rope RNA". From Rfam's summary of the family: Firmicutes, Fusobacteria, AlphaProteobacteria, Spirochaetes. Downstream gene The record is from Rfam by way of RNAcentral.
UUUAUUUGAAGUAGAGAUUGUGCUGCUACGCACCCGCCGGGUCAAAAGAAAUGCAGGAAGGGGCACCCCUGCCAAAUAAA